GAUGAAGAACGUAGCGAAAUGCGAUACGUAGUGUGAAUUGCAGAAUUUAGUGAAUCAUCGAAUCUUUGAACGCACAUUGCGCCCGCCAGUAUUCUGGCGGGCAUGCCUGUUCGAGCGUCAUUACAACCCUCAGGCCCCCGGGCCUGGCGUUGGGGAUCGGCGGAGCCCCCCGUGGGCACACGCCGUCCCCCAAAUGCAGUGGCGGUCCCGCCGCAGCUUCCAUCGCGUAGUAGCUAACACCUCGCGACUGGAGAGCGGCGCGGCCACGCCGUAAAACACCCAACUCUUCUGAAGUUGACCUCGAAUCAGGUAGGAAUACCCGCUGAACUUAAGCAUAUCAAUAAGCGGAGGA
This 352-nucleotide unclassified non-coding RNA is filed under the name soil metagenome. RNAcentral's name for it is "partial contains 5.8S ribosomal RNA, internal transcribed spacer 2, and large subunit ribosomal RNA". The stretch from base 1 to 120 matches the Rfam family "5.8S ribosomal RNA", at positions 35 to 154 of the family's 154-position model. The record is from RNAcentral.